CUCGGGGACUGGGGGGUCCCUCAGCCCAGAUUGUGAGAGGGCGCAGGCCAGGCCAAGGGACCCCACCAGUGCAGG
RNAcentral lists this microRNA precursor (75 nucleotides) under Myotis davidii. RNAcentral's name for it is "mir-9193 microRNA precursor family". It matches the Rfam family "mir-9193 microRNA precursor family". Lineage: Eukaryota; Metazoa; Chordata; Mammalia; Chiroptera; Vespertilionidae. The record is from Rfam by way of RNAcentral.